This 253-nucleotide ribosomal RNA is filed under the name uncultured bacterium. Its description in RNAcentral is "partial 16S ribosomal RNA". It matches the Rfam family "Bacterial small subunit ribosomal RNA", at positions 524 to 776 of the family's 1533-position model. The record is from RNAcentral.
UACGGGGGGGGCAAGCGUUGUUCGGAAUUACUGGGCGUAAAGGGCUCGUAGGCGGCCCUCUCAGUCGGAUGUGAAAUCCCCAGGCUUAACCUGGGAAUGGCAUCCGAUACUGGAGGGCUUGAAUUCGGGAGAGGGAUGCGGAAUUCCAGGUGUAGCGGUGAAAUGCGUAGAUAUCAGGAGGAACACCUGCGGUGUAGACGGCUUUCUGGACCAUUACUGACACUGAGACACGAAAGCGUGGGUAGCAAACAGG